UAUGGGCCAAUUGAAAUUGAAAAUUGUCAUUUUGACUUCACCGCGAUGCGGUGCUUGUUGAAAUGGCAUACUAUUUUACUAAAAACACCGUAACUUCUAAAUCGAGUAUCAGAUUAAGGUUAAAUUGGUAUCAUUGGAAACCUAAUUCAAUUUUGUACAAACUGUAGGGUAUAUAACUGGAAAAUUCUACACGCACCAAUCGUUAUUCAUAUUUCAAAGAUAACCUUAACAUUCGAGGAGUUAAAUUAAGCUAGGAAAAAAUAUGGGGUAUUACAGUUUUGGUCCUAUUACGUUGGACUUUGGGAUUGGAUUAAUGAUUAAUAGGGAUAGUCGGGGUCAUUCAUAAUUCACAGUCAGAGGUGAUAUUCUUGGAUUUAUGUAAGAUAAACAAUUAUGAAAGCAUUUGCCAAGGACAUUAUCAUUAAUCAAGAGUGAAAGUUGAGGGCUUGAAGAUGAUCAGAUACCAUCCUAGCCUCAACCAUAAAUGAUGCUGACUAAGGAUCGGCGGAUGUUGCUUUUAGGAUUCCGUUGACACCUUAUGAGAAAUCAAUGUUUUUGGGUUUCUGGGGGAGUAUUGUUGCAAGAAGGAAACUUAAAAGUUUUGAUGGAAGGGCACCAGCAGGAGUGGAGCCUGCGACAUAAUUUGACUCAACACACGGAAAGUUAUAAGGUCCACACAUAGUACGGAUUGAUAGACUGAGAGCUCUUUCUUGAUUCUAUGGGUAGUGAUGCAUGACCAUUCUUAGUUGGUGGAACAAUUUGUCUGGUUAAUUGUAUUAACGAAUAAGACCUCAGCCUGCUAACUAGCUAUAUGGAGGUAUCCCUUCGUGGCCAUCUUCUUAGAGGGACUAUGACCUUUUAGGCUGCAGAAGUUUUAGGCAAUAAUAGGUCUGUAAUGCCCUUAGAUAUUUUGGGCCACAAGCGCACUACACUAAUGUAUUCAACGAGUUUAUAGCCUUGGCCGACAGGCUCGGGUAAUCAUUGAAAUUUCAUUAUAAUUGGGAUAGAUCAUUUCAAUUAUUGGUCUUUAAUGAGGACAUCCUAGUAAGCGCGAGUCAUCAGCUCGCAUUGACUACGUCCCUGCCCUUUCUACACACCGUCCGUCGCUCCUACUGAUUGAAUGAUCUGAUAAAAUAUUUGGAUAGCGACAACGUGAGUGGUUCACUUCCCGUGAAAUCGCAGAAGUCCAUUAAACCUUAUCAUUUAGAGUAAGAAGAAGUCGUAAUAAGGUUUUCGUAGGUGAACCUGCAUAAGGAUCAUUA
Molecule: non-coding RNA, 1262 nt
Organism: Capsicum annuum
Lineage: Eukaryota; Viridiplantae; Streptophyta; Magnoliopsida; Solanales; Solanaceae
Source: Rfam